This 467-nucleotide ribosomal RNA is filed under the name uncultured bacterium. RNAcentral describes it as "partial 16S ribosomal RNA". It matches the Rfam family "Bacterial small subunit ribosomal RNA", at positions 28 to 507 of the family's 1533-position model. The record is from RNAcentral.
GACGAACGCUGGCGGCGUGCUUAACACAUGCAAGUCGAACGAUGACGACCGAGCUUGCUCGGUCUGAUUAGUGGCGAACGGGUGAGUAACACGUGAGCAACCUGCCCUUCACUCUGGGAUAACCUCGGGAAAUCGGGGCUAAUACCGGAUAUGAGCUCCUGUCGCAUGGCGGGUGCUGGAAAGUUUUUCGGUGAAGGAUGGGCUCGCGGCCUAUCAGUUUGUUGGUGGGGUAGUGGCUCACCAAGGCGAUGACGGGUAGCCGGCCUGAGAGGGCGACCGGCCACACUGGGACUGAGACACGGCCCAGACUCCUACGGGAGGCAGCAGUGGGGAAUAUUGCACAAUGGGCGAAAGCCUGAUGCAGCGACGCCGCGUGAGGGAUGACGGCCUUCGGGUUGUAAACCUCUUUCAGCAGGGAAGAAGCGAAAGUGACGGUACCUGCAGAAGAAGCGCCGGCUAACUACGUG